This 514-nucleotide ribosomal RNA is filed under the name uncultured bacterium. RNAcentral describes it as "bacterial SSU rRNA". It matches the Rfam family "Bacterial small subunit ribosomal RNA", at positions 8 to 518 of the family's 1533-position model. The record is from RNAcentral.
AGAGUUUGAUCCUGGCUCAGGAUGAACGCUGGCGGCGUGCUUAACACAUGCAAGUCGAACGAAGCUCCUAAUCUUGAGAUUUCGGUCAAGAGAGAGGGAAGACUUAGUGGCGGACGGGUGAGUAAUGCGUGAGCAACCUGCCCUUCGGAGGGGGACAACAGUUGGAAACGACUGCUAAUACCGCAUAAUGUAUCGAGAAGGCAUCUUCAUGAUACCAAAGAUUUAUCGCCGAGGGAUGGGCUCACGUCUGAUUAGUUAGUUGGUAGGGUAACGGCCUACCAAGACUGCGAUCAGUAGCCGGACUGAGAGGUUGACCGGCCACAUUGGGACUGAGAUACGGCCCAGACUCCUACGGGAGGCAGCAGUGGGGAAUAUUGGGCAAUGGGCGCAAGCCCUGACCCAGCAACGCCGCGUGAAGGAAGAAGGCUUUCGGGUUGUAAACUUCUUUUAGCAGGGACGAAGACGUGACGGUACCUGCAGAAUAAGCUCCGGCUAACUACGUGCCAGCAGCCGC